GACGUUUCCAUAGAUACGAAACAGCGCUUUGCUAGUGUUGUCAAAAUGCAGCCUGGAUUAAAAACACAACAGCUUCUGCGACCACCUACCUACACCUGAGUACACAAACAAGGACCCACUGCAGAGAUGUCUCAGUUGUCAGCUGAAGAUGAGGUGGAGUUACAAUCCCUGCUCAAGCAGCUUCUGAGAAGCAUCAACGACAGGAUCUCCAACGCUCCGUCAACCGAAUGUGCUGAAGACAUCCUGCUUCACCUGGAGGAGACCGACAAGAACUUCCAUAAUUAUGAGUUUGUGAAGUACCUCCGUCAGUACAUGGAGAGCUCUCUUGGGACUGUGAUAGAAGAAGAGACUAAGAGCUUGACCAAAGGAG
Labrus bergylta (ballan wrasse) is the source of this 370-nucleotide non-coding RNA. The record is from RefSeq and is a predicted model, not a curated record. Lineage: Eukaryota; Metazoa; Chordata; Actinopteri; Labriformes; Labridae.